UUUUUUAAAUAAUACUUUGAAUGACUAUUGAUAACAACAAAUAAAAGAUACACCUAAAGAGCACCGAAUUGCACAACUACCUUCCAGAAAGGGUGCUGUAAUUCUUAGGCCUCAAGACAUUCACUAGUUACACAAUAUUUUCUGCAAAAAUCCGCUACAAUUGUGCACUUUUCCAGACCGUUUGAGUAUAUCUAAUCUUUCUAUAAUUUUUUUUUAAUUUGUGUGACUAACAUCUUAGCAUGUAUAGUUGUUACCUUGAAAAGCUUCUAGUUUCUAGCUCUCCAUGUGUAGUAUAUCAAUGCUACCCAUAUAGAUGUAAUCUUUUCCUUCUUGAAUUGCUUCCAAUAUUUUCUUUUAAUGCUGUCUAAUACUUGUUGUAAUAAUACUACAACAAUAUUAUUAUUUAGAAAAUAGAGAAGAAAUAAAGAAGGAAAAAGAAAUGAAAACUUUUGGUCGUCGGAGAUGGCAUCACCGAAUUAGAUACAGCUCGUUGCGACAAGUCCAUGCUCGAGAUAAUGAAAUCGAACUUCCGAUUUGCAUCCUUAACAUCAUCGAGUUGAGUUUGAAACUGAUUCUGGUUCGUUUUUAUAUAUUCGAACCUUUGGCUUGCAUGCUCCACAAACAAAGAAAGUUGCACACGCAUAUCUCUCAUCUCCGUUUUAAAGUUUGAAUCUCUGAAUUUGAGGCCGUGGUAGCUGAAGUUUGAGUCCCAGGCGGCUCUGAUACUAUUGUAACAAGAUGAUUGCUCUUGUUACCAGUAAGAAAGAGAAUAGAGAGAAUAGAGAGAAAAGAGAGAGAAGAAGAUAAGGAAAAAAGAAAAUUUUGAUUCAAUAUCGGGGUGCCUUCCUCCGAGUACAUUGACAGCAUAAAUAGCAGAGUAUCCAAUAUUGGAUUCUGGACUCUUCCUAAUAGCUUGACACCCGUCCAAUUCCACUAAUAGAAUUAUGGACUUCUUUGAACAUAAACCAUAAACUAAAGAACUCAAAUAGACGUAAUAAAUACUUAACUAACGACUACUAAGAACUUAGCUAAAUCACUUAAAAUUCAAAAAAUCUCUAAUCAUAACAUAUUGUCAUAAUUAUUUGUCUAAUUUUUUUUUUCUUUUGUUUUGAUAAGGUUUCAUUAUCUGUCCUUUUCUCUUUCUUUGGAUCAAAAGCUCACUCCGAUGACUUCUAAAUCAGCUCAACUCACUGCGAUAGUCAUUGCUCACUCAGUUCAAGCAAUAGCUGAAGCUGGAGGAGUUUCAGGAGGAUGGUGAAGAAGGGGAGCAAAGCCAAUACUUAGAUUUUGGUGCAAUGGGCUAACCUGCUGCCAGGAGAAGCUACCUGGGAAGAUUGCAAUUUCAUAGUAUCUCAUUUUCUAGAUUUUAAUGAACCCUUCAGGACAAGGUUCUGAAGAAGGAUGGAAUGUUAUGAUUAGAGAUUAUUUAAAUUUAAUUGAUUUAGUUGAGUCCUUAGUAGUCGUUAGUUAAAUCAUUAUUAUGUCUAUUUGGGUCCCUUAUAUUAUGGUUUAUGUUCAAAGAAGUCCAUAAUUCUAACAGUGAGAUUGGACAGGUGUCAAGCUAUUAGGAAGAGUCCAGAAUCCAAUGUUGGAUUCUCUGUUAUUUAUGCUAUCAAUGUAUUGAGAGAAUGGCAUCCCGACAUUGAAUCAAAAUUUCCUUUCUUCCUUA
Molecule: long non-coding RNA, 1669 nt
Organism: Nicotiana tabacum (common tobacco)
Lineage: Eukaryota; Viridiplantae; Streptophyta; Magnoliopsida; Solanales; Solanaceae
Source: RefSeq, a predicted model, not a curated record